CCUACGGGAGGCAGCAGUGGGGAAUAUUGGGCAAUGGGCGCAAGCCUGACCCAGCAACGCCGCGUGAAGGAAGAAGGCUUUCGGGUUGUAAACUUCUUUUAAGGGGGAAGAGCAGAAGACGGUACCCCUUGAAUAAGCCACGGCUAACUACGUGCCAGCAGCCGCGGUAAUACGUAGGUGGCAAGCAUUGUCCGGAUUUACUGGGUGUAAAGGGCGUGCAGCCGGAGAGACAAGUCAGAUGUGAAAUCCACGGGCUCAACCCGUGAACUGCAUUUGAAACUGUUUCCCUUGAGUGUCGGAGAGGUAAUCGGAAUUCCUUGUGUAGCGGUGAAAUGCGUAGAUAGAAGGAAGAACACCAGUGGCGAAGGCGGAUUACUGGACGAUAACUGACGGUGAGGCGCGAAAGCGUGGGGAGCAAACAGGAUUAGAUACCCUUGUAGUC
RNAcentral lists this ribosomal RNA (442 nucleotides) under uncultured bacterium. Its description in RNAcentral is "partial 16S ribosomal RNA". It matches the Rfam family "Bacterial small subunit ribosomal RNA", at positions 338 to 795 of the family's 1533-position model. The record is from RNAcentral.